This 463-nucleotide ribosomal RNA is filed under the name uncultured bacterium. RNAcentral's name for it is "bacterial SSU rRNA". It matches the Rfam family "Bacterial small subunit ribosomal RNA", at positions 338 to 796 of the family's 1533-position model. The record is from RNAcentral.
CCUACGGGCGGCAGCAGUCGAGAAUCUUCGGCAAUGGGCGCAAGCCUGACCGAGCGACGCCGCGUGCGGGAUGAAGGCCUUCGGGUUGUAAACCGCUGUCAGAGGGGAUGAAAUGCAGGUGGGUUCUCCCAUCUGUUUGACAUAGCCUCAGAGGAAGGACGGGCUAAGUUCGUGCCAGCAGCCGCGGUAAGACGAACCGUCCAAACGUUAUUCGGAAUCACUGGGCUUAAAGGGUGCGUAGGCGGCGCGGAAAGUUGGGUGUGAAAUCCCUCGGCUCAACCGAGGAACUGCGCCCAAAACUACCGUGCUCGAGGGAGAUAGAGGUGAGCGGAACUUAGGGUGGAGCGGUGAAAUGCGUUGAUAUCCUAAGGAACACCGGUGGCGAAAGCGGCUCACUGGAUCUCUUCUGACGCUGAGGCACGAAAGCUAGGGUAGCAAACGGGAUUAGAUACCCCUGUAGUCA